CCGCACAUCCACUCACAAGAUCAGGAUCCUCCAAGCCACGAGCAAUCCAUUAGAGUAGCCAAUUUCAAUCUCCCAUGGGUAAGGCUCAAGAACCCCCUCACAAAUCACUUGGUGAGGCUUGAAACAAUCUCCACUCACGAUCUCAACACCUCCACUGCUCCAAGCCUUCUAGGUCAUUGGGAAACACCCAAGAGUAACAAGAAAUCCACAGCAAACUCAAGAAUCAAGUGCCACUAGAUACAACUCUUAAUGCAAUGCACUUGAAUCCUCAAUCUUACUAUGAUUAGCAAUCAAGCAAGGAGAUGAGUGGACGGACUGUUCUCUAGCUCAAUGUAUGCCUC
RNAcentral lists this long non-coding RNA (341 nucleotides) under Sorghum bicolor (sorghum). Its description in RNAcentral is "long non-coding RNA (SBIC_LNC014673)". The record is from RNAcentral. Lineage: Eukaryota; Viridiplantae; Streptophyta; Magnoliopsida; Poales; Poaceae.